GAUGAAGAACGCAGCGAAAUGCGAUACUUGGUGUGAAUUGCAGAAUCCCGUGAACCAUCGAGUCUUUGAACGCAAGUUGCGCCCGAAGCCAUUAGGCCGAGGGCACGCCUGCCUGGGCGUCACACGUCGUUGCCCCCCCAUCUACUCCUUCGGGAUUGCGGGGGGCGGAUGAUGGCCUCCCGUGCGCCUCGCCGCGCGGUUGGCAUAAAUGCCAAGUCCUCGGCGACGCACGCCACGACAAUCGGUGGUUGCGAAACCGCGGUUGCCCGUCGUGUGCGGUCGUCGCGCAUCGAGGGCUCGAAAAAAUUGCCGGGUUCCGGCUCGGCUUUCAACGCGACCCCAGGUCAGGCGGGGUUACCCGCUGAAUUUAAGCAUAUCAAUAAGCGGAGGA
This 391-nucleotide unclassified non-coding RNA is filed under the name soil metagenome. RNAcentral's name for it is "partial contains 5.8S ribosomal RNA, internal transcribed spacer 2, and large subunit ribosomal RNA". The stretch from base 1 to 122 matches the Rfam family "5.8S ribosomal RNA", at positions 35 to 154 of the family's 154-position model. The record is from RNAcentral.